UACAGAGGGGGCAAGCGUUAUUCGGAAUUAUUGGGCGUAAAGGGCGCGUAGGCGGCUUUGCAAGUGACGGGUGAAAUCCCUCGGCUUAACCGAGGAACUGCCUGUCAGACUGCAUGGCUUGAGACCAGGAGAGGUGAGUGGAAUUCCCAGUGUAGCGGUGAAAUGCGUAGAUAUUGGGAGGAACACCAGUGGCGAAGGCGGCUCACUGGACUGGUACUGACGCUGAUGUGCGAAAGCGUGGGGAGCAAACAGG
Molecule: ribosomal RNA, 253 nt
Filed under: uncultured bacterium
Lineage: Bacteria
Description: partial 16S ribosomal RNA
Rfam family: Bacterial small subunit ribosomal RNA
Source: RNAcentral